Molecule: ribosomal RNA, 562 nt
Filed under: Thelebolus microsporus
Lineage: Eukaryota; Fungi; Ascomycota; Leotiomycetes; Thelebolales; Thelebolaceae
Description: eukaryotic LSU rRNA
Rfam family: Eukaryotic large subunit ribosomal RNA
Source: RNAcentral
GCAUAUCAAUAAGCGGAGGAAAAGAAACCAACAGGGAUUACCUCAGUAACGGCGAGUGAAGCGGUAACAGCUCAAAUUUGAAAUCUGGCAGCAAUGUCCGAGUUGUAAUUUGUAGAGGAUGUUUCGAGCAUGGUCUGGCCUAAGUUCCUUGGAACAGGACGUCAUAGAGGGUGAGAAUCCCGUAUGCGGUCAGGUGCCUACGCUCAUGUGAAACUCCUUCGACGAGUCGAGUUGUUUGGGAAUGCAGCUCAAAAUGGGUGGUAAAUUUCAUCUAAAGCUAAAUAUUGGCCAGAGACCGAUAGCGCACAAGUAGAGUGAUCGAAAGAUGAAAAGCACUUUGGAAAGAGAGUUAAACAGUACGUGAAAUUGUUGAAAGGGAAGCGCUUGCAACCAGACUUGCACGCAGCUGAUCAUCCGCUGUUCUCAGUGGUGCACUCGGUUGCGUUCAGGCCAGCAUCGGUUUUGGUGGUGGGAUAAAGGCCUUAGGAAUGUAGCUGCUUUCGGGCAGUGUUAUAGCCUAGGGUGCAAUGCCGCCUACUGGGACCGAGGACCGCGCUCGGCU